Gordionus sp. m RMFG-2023 is the source of this 388-nucleotide long non-coding RNA. RefSeq lists it as uncharacterized. Lineage: Eukaryota; Metazoa; Nematomorpha; Gordioida; Chordodea; Parachordodidae. The record is from RefSeq and is a predicted model, not a curated record. The transcript has 3 exons.
CACCAUGUUUAUUGUUUUUUCUUUUCACUUUAAUAAAUACUCAAUUUAAUAGAGAUUAGGCGAAUUACCAGUUAAUUAGAUAAGAAUCUUAAAAUCAAACAAGACUAUUCUUUAAAUUAACAACUUAUUAAUACUUGCUAAUAAUUUGGGAAAAAUCAUAAUUCUAACUAACAUCUAAAGAAAAUCAGAUUCUGAUCUAUUCAUCAUCAUAUAGCAUAUUAGUAUCUAUUAAAUGGUUCGGGAAAAGUCAAAUCCUGUGCGAUCAUAUUUUAAAUUAGAUAUUGUAAAAAAUCAAUCUACUUGUAAACUAGAAAACUGUGGUAAAGUUUUAACCGGGGACCAUGCAGCAAAUCUUGAACGACAUAUAGAAAGAUUCCACGAUAAGGAA